Salmo salar (Atlantic salmon) is the source of this 842-nucleotide long non-coding RNA. RefSeq lists it as uncharacterized. Lineage: Eukaryota; Metazoa; Chordata; Actinopteri; Salmoniformes; Salmonidae. The record is from RefSeq and is a predicted model, not a curated record.
AUUCCAAACCGUCUCAGACCUGAAAAUUGCUGGACGCUGUUGGUGACUGGUGUGUAUGUAUGUCUAUGCACAUGUGUCUUUCAUUUCCUCUUUCAUACUCAUUCCUUUUUUGCUCUGCUCAGUGAUGAACAGUAGUCUGCAAAUACCGUGUUUUUUGUAUAAUUGCCCGUAUUCAAAGCGUUUGUUCACAAGAGGACUUUGGACCUUUUUUAUAACAUGUUUCGGACCAAUGACCUGGUCUCACCAGCGGCUGGGAUUCUUGGGUAUGCAGUGGGAAAGGCUUCUUAUGUCCCAACCUGCAGAAAUAAGUUCCAGAGACUUGGGCCUGUCUUAAGCCCAGAAUCUGAGGGUUUUGGAUUUGGUCCUGGCCCAUUUGGAGGCUGUUGCUUUGGAGAACGUGGUUCUGGCCCUGGACACAGUUAGUUUGAGACACACUGGAGUCCAAUCCAGAGGAUGUGUCACAUCUACUCCUGCUCAUCCCCUCCGGCAUUCGACGUCACCGGUAUACUAACCACCGGUCCUGGGAUCCAUCAUUACGCACACCUGGCAUUAAUCAUUACACGCACCUGCAUGUCAUCACGAGGCACACCUGGACUCCAUUACCUCAUUUAUUACCUCCCCUUUAUCUGGCACUCCCUAAGGUUCUUUCCCCAGUCAGUAUUGUUCCUGUGUGUAUAUGUAGACGCUACUGUUAUGUUGUCUUGGUCCAUGUUUGGUUUACUAAAUGUUUCACCUGCUUCUUGACUCUGUGUCUCUGCUACAGGAUGCAGUGCAAAUGGACUUGACGAAAUGAUUUGUGUGUGUAUAGUUUUACAAAAAAUAAAGAUUGAGUAUUUACCUCA